Molecule: long non-coding RNA, 236 nt
Organism: Zophobas morio
Lineage: Eukaryota; Metazoa; Arthropoda; Insecta; Coleoptera; Tenebrionidae
Exons: 3
Source: RefSeq, a predicted model, not a curated record
GAAAGUAAUACAGUACCCUUAAAUUUGUCUAAGAAGGUUAAGUAAUGGGUUGGUAGCCUUUGAAUUAGCUAAUAGACAUCAGCUCCUGUUUUACAGUUAAUGUCUUCACCACGGAUACAGUCCUUAAACUUAAACAAACAGUUUAUCGCAUUUGCAGAAUUGAUAUAGAAAGACAGAUGUUAACGCUUUCAAAUUACGUGGAACUAAAAUGCGGAACUUUGGGCCAGUACAAAAUA